Molecule: ribosomal RNA, 497 nt
Filed under: uncultured bacterium
Lineage: Bacteria
Description: partial 16S ribosomal RNA
Rfam family: Bacterial small subunit ribosomal RNA
Source: RNAcentral
GAUGAACGCUGGCGGCGUGCCUAAUACAUGCAAGUCGAGCGAACGGACGAGAAGCUUGCUUCUCUGAUGUUAGCGGCGGACGGGUGAGUAACACGUGGAUAACCUACCUAUAAGACUGGGAUAACUUCGGGAAACCGGAGCUAAUACCGGAUAAUAUUUUGAACCGCAUGGUUCAAAAGUGAAAGACGGUCUUGCUGUCACUUAUAGAUGGAUCCGCGCUGCAUCAGCUAGUUGGUAAGGUAACGGCUUACCAAGGCAACGAUGCAUAGCCGACCUGAGAGGGUGAUCGGCCACACUGGAACUGAGACACGGUCCAGACUCCUACGGGAGGCAGCAGUAGGGAAUCUUCCGCAAUGGGCGAAAGCCUGACGGAGCAACGCCGCGUGAGUGAUGAAGGUCUUCGGAUCGUAAAACUCUGUUAUUAGGGAAGAACAUAUGUGUAAGUAACUGUGCACAUCUUGACGGUACCUAAUAAGAAAGCCACGGCUAACUACGUG